This 480-nucleotide long non-coding RNA is filed under the name Mytilus galloprovincialis (Mediterranean mussel). The record is from RNAcentral. Lineage: Eukaryota; Metazoa; Mollusca; Bivalvia; Mytilida; Mytilidae.
UUAUUUAUGACCUGUCUUUUUGUAUUAUUAAAUGUAAUUCAAUUACCUGUUAAACGUAAACAUUUUUAAGAAAUAUCUCUUUAUUUUUGGUGAAAUUAAUUAUUGAUCUUUCAAGCAAUGCCGAUAUAAUAUCGGCAUUGCUUGAAAGAUCGUCAAUGUCGGAUGACGAAUUUAUAUCUUCUACUUGAUUAUUUUCAACAAGUAACGGCUCAAACUGAUACGGUUGAAUAUCUAAAGUUUAAGAAUUGCCUUGAAAACUGCUGUCAACACCGUCCAUUGUUUAAUUUUACAGGAAUAUGAUCGACUUCGUCCUUUUUGAGACAUUUUCUCAGAUUGUAUCCACUGACGUCAUCACGAUCACGUGACCGGUAUCUCAUUAAAAAUCAAAGAUUACGACAAGCGCUGGAUUCUUUGACCAUUAAAAGGCCGUUAAAUGAGGUUUUGACAAGAAAAAAUUAUUACAAUAUGUUAUUUGACCAA